UACGGAGGGAGCUAGCGUUGUUCGGAAUUACUGGGCGUAAAGCGCACGUAGGCGGCUUUGUAAGUUAGAGGUGAAAUCCUGGAGCUCAACUCCAGAACUGCCUCCGAUACUGGGAGCCUUCGAGUCCGGGAGAGGUGAGUGGAACUGCGAGUGUAGAGGUGAAAUUCGUAGAUAUUCGCAAGAACACCAGUGGCGAAGGCGGCUCACUGGCCCGGUACUGACGCUGAGGUGCGAAAGCGUGGGGAGCAAACAGG
Molecule: ribosomal RNA, 254 nt
Filed under: uncultured bacterium
Lineage: Bacteria
Description: partial 16S ribosomal RNA
Rfam family: Bacterial small subunit ribosomal RNA
Source: RNAcentral